GAUGAACGCUGGCGGCGUGCCUAAUACAUGCAAGUCGAGCGAACGGACGAGAAGCUUGCUUUUCUGAUGUUAGCGGCGGACGGGUGAGUAACACGUGGAUAACCUACCUAUAAGACUGGGAUAACUUCGGGAAACCGGAGCUAAUACCGGAUAAUAUUUUGAACCGCAUGGUUCAAAAGUGAAAGACGGUCUUGCUGUCACUUAUAGAUGGAUCCGCGCUGCAUUAGCUAGUUGGUAAGGUAACGGCUUACCAAGGCAACGAUGCAUAGCCGACCUGAGAGGGUGAUCGGCCACACUGGAACUGAGACACGGUCCAGACUCCUACGGGAGGCAGCAGUAGGGAAUCUUCCGCAAUGGGCGAGAGCCUGACGGUGCAACGCCGCGUGAGUGAUGAAGGUCUUCGGAUCGUAAAACUCUGUUAUUAGGGAAGAACAUAUGUGUAAGUAACUGUGCACAUCUUGACGGUACCUAAUCAGAAAGCCACGGCUAACUACGUG
This 497-nucleotide ribosomal RNA is filed under the name uncultured bacterium. RNAcentral's name for it is "partial 16S ribosomal RNA". It matches the Rfam family "Bacterial small subunit ribosomal RNA", at positions 28 to 507 of the family's 1533-position model. The record is from RNAcentral.